GUACAAUAAGAACUUCAAGACACUGAGGAAAGAAAUUGAAGAAGACCUCAGAAGAUGGAAAGAUCUCCCAUGCUCAUGGAUUGGCAGGAUUAAUAUGGUAAAAAUGGCCAUUUUACCAAAAGCAAUCUACAGAUUCAAUGCAAUCCCCAUCAAAACACCAAUCCAAUUCUUCAAAGAGUUAGACAGAACAAUUUGCAAAUUCAUCUGGAAUAACAAAAAACCCAGGAUAGCUAAAGCUAUCCUCAACAAUAAAAGGACUUCAGGGGGAAUCACUAUCCC
Molecule: long non-coding RNA, 279 nt
Filed under: Rattus norvegicus (Norway rat)
Lineage: Eukaryota; Metazoa; Chordata; Mammalia; Rodentia; Muridae
Description: long non-coding RNA NONRATT015359
Source: RNAcentral